Molecule: non-coding RNA, 95 nt
Filed under: Kineococcus radiotolerans
Lineage: Bacteria; Bacillati; Actinomycetota; Actinomycetes; Kineosporiales; Kineosporiaceae
Also listed under: 1 other name
Description: SAM-I sequence
Rfam family: SAM riboswitch aptamer (S box leader)
About the family: The SAM riboswitch is found upstream of a number of genes which code for proteins involved in methionine or cysteine biosynthesis in Gram-positive bacteria. The SAM riboswitch acts at the level of transcription termination control.
Source: RNAcentral
UGUCCAUCCAGAGCGACCGAGAGACCUGGCUCGUCGACGUCGCAGCAACCCCCUGAUCCGUCAGGCGCGGGUGCUUCCGCCAGGACCGAUGGGAG